RNAcentral lists this ribosomal RNA (459 nucleotides) under uncultured bacterium. RNAcentral's name for it is "partial 16S ribosomal RNA". It matches the Rfam family "Bacterial small subunit ribosomal RNA", at positions 338 to 795 of the family's 1533-position model. The record is from RNAcentral.
CCUACGGGGGGCUGCAGUGAGGAAUAUUGGUCAAUGGUCGAGAGACUGAACCAGCCAAGCCGCGUGAGGGAUGAAGGUACAGAGUAUCGUAAACCUCUUUUGUCGGGGAACAAAGGCGGGGACGUGUCCCCGGAUGAGUGUACCUGAAGAAAAAGCAUCGGCUAACUCCGUGCCAGCAGCCGCGGUAAUACGGAGGAUGCGAGCGUUAUCCGGAUUUAUUGGGUUUAAAGGGGGGGCAGGCGGUUUGUUAAGUCAGCGGUAAAAGCCCGGGGCUCAACCCCGGACCGCCGUUGAAACUGGCAGUCUCGAGUUGGAGAGAAGUAUGCGGAAUGCGCGGUGUAGCGGUGAAAUGCAUAGAUAUCGCGCAGAACUCCGAUUGCGAAGGCAGCAUGCCGGCUCCACACUGACGCUGAGGCACGAAAGCGUGGGUAUCGAACAGGAUUAGAUACCCCGGUAGUC